Molecule: ribosomal RNA, 253 nt
Filed under: uncultured bacterium
Lineage: Bacteria
Description: partial 16S ribosomal RNA
Rfam family: Bacterial small subunit ribosomal RNA
Source: RNAcentral
UACGUAGGGGGCUAGCGUUGUCCGGAAUCAUUGGGCGUAAAGCGCGUGUAGGCGGUCCGGUAAGUCUGCUGUGAAAGUCGGGGGCUCAACCCUCGAAUGCCGGUGGAUACUGUCGGGCUAGAGUGCGGAAGAGGCGAGUGGAAUUCCUGGUGUAGCGGUGAAAUGCGCAGAUAUCAGGAGGAACACCUAUUGCGAAGGCAGCUCGCUGGGACGUAACUGACGCUGAGACGCGUAAGCGUGGGGAGCAAACAGG